This 411-nucleotide ribosomal RNA is filed under the name uncultured bacterium. RNAcentral describes it as "bacterial SSU rRNA". It matches the Rfam family "Bacterial small subunit ribosomal RNA", at positions 355 to 774 of the family's 1533-position model. The record is from RNAcentral.
UCGAGGAUCUUCGGCAAUGGGCGAAAGCCUGACCGAGCGACGCCGCGUGUGCGAUGAAGGCCUUCGGGUUGUAAAGCACUGUCGUGGGGGAGAAAGCCCGCAAGGGUUGAUCGACCCCAGGAGGAAGCUCGGGCUAAGUUCGUGCCAGCAGCCGCGGUAAGACGAACCGAGCGAACGUUGUUCGGAAUCACUGGGCUUAAAGGGCGCGUAGGCGGGCGGUCAAGUCCGGGGUGAAAGCCCCCAGCUCAACUGGGGAAGUGCCUCGGAUACUGGCCAUCUCGAGGGGGAUAGGGGCGUGCGGAACUUCCGGUGGAGCGGUGAAAUGCGUAGAUAUCGGAAGGAACACCGAUGGCGAAAGCAGCGCGCUGGAUCCCUUCUGACGCUGAGGCGCGAAAGCCAGGGGAGCGAACG